RNAcentral lists this ribosomal RNA (215 nucleotides) under uncultured bacterium. RNAcentral's name for it is "partial 16S ribosomal RNA". It matches the Rfam family "Bacterial small subunit ribosomal RNA", at positions 524 to 738 of the family's 1533-position model. The record is from RNAcentral.
UACGAAGGGUGCAAACGUUGCUCGGAAUCAUUGGGCGUAAAGCGCACGUAGGCGGCUUGCCAAGUCGGACGUGAAAUCCCUCAGCUCAACUGAGGACGUGCAUCCGAAACUGGCGAGCUUGAGUACUGAAGAGGAUCGCGGAAUUCCCGGUGUAGAGGUGAAAUUCGUAGAUAUUGGGAAGAACACCGGUGGCGAAGGCGGCGAGCUGGUCCAUU